GGCAGUGUAGUCUAAUGGUUAAGACCAUGGGUUUUUGAUUCAGGAAGGUCAGGAUGGGAAUUCUAGCUCCUCUACUGCUG
Molecule: transfer RNA, 80 nt
Filed under: Tupaia belangeri chinensis (Chinese tree shrew)
Lineage: Eukaryota; Metazoa; Chordata; Mammalia; Scandentia; Tupaiidae
Description: Tupaia chinensis (Chinese tree shrew) tRNA
Rfam family: tRNA
About the family: Transfer RNA (tRNA) molecules are approximately 80 nucleotides in length.
Source: Rfam by way of RNAcentral